This is a non-coding RNA of Schizosaccharomyces pombe (fission yeast), 260 nucleotides long. Lineage: Eukaryota; Fungi; Ascomycota; Schizosaccharomycetes; Schizosaccharomycetales; Schizosaccharomycetaceae. The record is from the annotation of a GenBank genome assembly.
AGGAAUGUUAUCAUACUUUUGAAGUACACGUUCGAUUUCGUCCUGCUCAAUUUCAUCUUCGUCUUCAUCAUUAAAUUCAAGAUCUCUAAAUGUAAUCCUUAAUAGAUGAGUGCCGUCUACCUUUAUAAUUUUGGAAAAUGACAGAUGAAGAUCAUUACAUAAACGUCGUAGAAAGCGCUGAUCAACAGAAGAAAUGUUUGCACUAAAAUCAAUGAACGGCUCACGAGAAGACAAAAACUUUUUAAUCUGUAAGAAAUAAU